This 449-nucleotide ribosomal RNA is filed under the name uncultured bacterium. Its description in RNAcentral is "partial 16S ribosomal RNA". It matches the Rfam family "Bacterial small subunit ribosomal RNA", at positions 29 to 523 of the family's 1533-position model. The record is from RNAcentral.
AACGAACGCUGGCGGCAGGCUUAACACAUGCAAGUCGAACGAGACCUUCGGAUCUAGUGGCAGACGGGUGAGGAACACGUGGGAACAUCCCUUUCAGUUCGGAAUAACGUUGGGAAACUAACGCUAAUACCGGAUACGUCCUUCGGGAGAAAGAUUUAUCGCUGAAAGAUUGGCCCGCGUCUGAUUAGCUAGUUGGUGAGGUAACGGCUCACCAAGGCUACGAUCAGUAGCUGAUCUGAGAGGAUGAUCAGCCACAUUGGGACUGAGACACGGCCCAAACUCCUACGGGAGGCAGCAGUGGGGAAUAUUGGACAGUGGGCGCAAGCCUGAUCCAGCCAUGCCGCGUGAGUGAUGACGGCCUUCGGGUUGUAAAGCUCUUUUGUCCGGGAAGAUAAUGACUGUACCGGAAGAAUAAGCCCCGGCAAACUUCGUGCCAGCCGCCGCGGUAA